GGAGGAUCAUUAUUGAAUUUUUGAAGGGGGUUGUAGCUGAUCUUUUAGAUAUGUGCACACCUCUUGUCAUCUAUACACCCACAUGUGCACUUUUGUAGGCUUUUCAAGGCCUAUGUUUGCUUCAUACACACACAUUGUAAAAGAAUGUUAAUUGAUAAAAUUUAAUACAACUUUCAACAACGGAUCUCUUGGCUCUCGCAUCGAUGAAGAACGCAGCGAAAUGCGAUAAGUAAUGUGAAUUGCAGAAUUCAGUGAAUCAUCGAAUCUUUGAACGCACCUUGCGCUCCUUGGUAUUCCGAGGAGCAUGUCUGUUUGAGUGUCAUUAAAUUAUCAACCUCUUUUAAGAGGCUUGGAUUUGGAGUGUUGCUGGCUUUUAUAUGUUGGCUCCUCUUAAAUGCAUUAGCUUGUAGGCUUUGGUUUGAUAAUAUCUAUGCCAUCGCUGUAAUGCAAAAAACCACCUUUUGAAAUUUGACCUCAAAUCAGGUAGGACUACCCGCUGAACUUAAGCAUAUCAAUAAGCGGAGGAAAAGAAAUUAACAAGGAUUCCCCUAGUAACUGCGAGUGAAGCGGGAAAAGCUCAAAUUUAAAAUCUGGCAGUCUUAUAGCUGUCCGAGUUGUAAUCUAGAGAAGUGCUUUCCGCGUUGGACCGUGUACAAGUCUCUUGGAACAGAGCGUCAUAGAGGGUGAGAAUCCCGUCUUUGACACGGACUACCAGUGCUUAUGUGGUGCGCUCUCAAAGAGUCGAGUUGUUUGGGAAUGCAGCUCAAAAUGGGUGGUAAAUUCCAUCUAAAGCUAAAUAUUGGCGAGAGACCGAUAGCGAACAAGUACCGUGAGGGAAAGAUGAAAAGAACUUUGGAAAGAGAGUUAAACAGUACGUGAAAUUGUUGAAAGGGAAACGCUUGAAGUCAGUCACGUUGGUCAGAAAUCAACCCUCCUGGGUGUACUUUCUGGCUUUACGGGUCAGCAUCAAUUUUGAUUGUUGGAUAAAAGUCAAUAUUUAUGCAUUUUCGGAUGUAUAGCCUUUGGUUGCAUACAACAGUUGGGAUUGAGGAACUCAGCAUGCCGCAAGGCCGGAUCACUUUGAUCA
Molecule: ribosomal RNA, 1087 nt
Filed under: uncultured fungus
Lineage: Eukaryota; Fungi
Description: eukaryotic LSU rRNA
Rfam family: Eukaryotic large subunit ribosomal RNA (bases 470-1087)
Source: RNAcentral